CCACUUAACCUCAUCAAGCUGGAAAUGUAAAGAGUAGAGUGAGCCCACAUUUCAGAGCUGCUCUGACCUACUGAUUCAUUCCUCUGGGAGGUUGAGAUCCCCAGACUCUGAGAGAACCUCCCGCUUGUUGCAGCCACGAAUCUAUAUUCUAAUCUCAUGUAUAUCAUUUGCCUUGCUUGCUUACUGGUUCAAAGCAAGCCAAGGUGAGAGCGCUGUUAGGUGAAUGUGAGAUGCCAUUCUCACCUGUCCUCCAGCAAUAACAACCUCUCUCUGUGGACUGGCAUAGGUGGUCACCACCAAAUAAACCUGAACAUCCUGCAAGCAUAUUGGGCUCUUCAAGCAAACAUUUGACAAAUUUGAUCUCACCUUCCUUCCCAACACCACAGUGAUCUAGUUGUGGCUUUCAAGAAGCCUGAGCCAAACUCGCAGUGUGGAGAUGUUAGUUAGUCAUGGAGAUGAAGGUAUAAGCUACCCAGGCCUUUUCCCCGGAGUAAUUGGGCAUGGGCUGGUGAACUUGCAAGGGC
Molecule: long non-coding RNA, 524 nt
Filed under: Homo sapiens (human)
Lineage: Eukaryota; Metazoa; Chordata; Mammalia; Primates; Hominidae
Description: HSALNT0127890
Source: RNAcentral